UAAGUGACGUCGAUAGGCGAAGACGAAGGCCAGUGUGUGGGGUAGCUCUACCGCCUGUCCCUCCGGGGUGGACCCAGGCCUUAGCCCUCCUUCGCCUCUACGUCCCUGCGGCCGCGGCGCCGUCCGGAUGGGCUGGGCCGGCGGCGGCGACCGCCGCCGUUGUCCGAGGACCGGCCCAUGGAGCGCGUGCUUAAGGAACGCACGCCGUGCCAGGACCCACUUUCCGCCCGCGGGCCGCCCGGCCUGUGCCCGAGGCUCCGCUCAGUCCCGGCUCCCGUCCGGCGCGCCAUGCUCCGGCACCGUCGCGACCACGUCCAGCCGCCGCGGACGCAAGGGCCCCACCACUUGGGGCGCGUCGAGCGGCGCACCCGCUGCUGUGCCACUCCUCCGGCGCCCCUUCCGCAUGUACAUACAUUCACAUCGAUUCAGGGACGACUAGUAGACCUCAGAGUAAUCAAUCUCGAAUACGACUGCUACAUCCAACCUACUCGUACUCUAGACAUGUAGAUACAAGAGUUGCUACGGUAUACCACACCAACCAAGAUGAUGAUCACAGACUAGUACGACCACAAGUAGAUGAUCACGUAACCAAAAAGAAGAAGACUAGGUCACUAAGCGAUCCUGAUUUAGAUCCUUUGUGAUCAUGGUCAACGGAC
Molecule: ribosomal RNA, 656 nt
Filed under: Triticum aestivum (bread wheat)
Lineage: Eukaryota; Viridiplantae; Streptophyta; Magnoliopsida; Poales; Poaceae
Description: partial small subunit ribosomal RNA
Source: RNAcentral